RNAcentral lists this long non-coding RNA (1415 nucleotides) under Vulpes vulpes (red fox). RNAcentral's name for it is "lncRNA (ENSVVUG00000028140.1)". Lineage: Eukaryota; Metazoa; Chordata; Mammalia; Carnivora; Canidae. The record is from RNAcentral.
GGGAUGUUGUAUUGACCAGCAACAAAACUUGUUCAGAGGAGGAACAUGACAAUUAGAUACCCUGGUGGAUUCUAACUAAUUAGUUUUGAAAUUUAAGCAAAGGAAUACUUCAGUUAUUGGAAAAGCUAAGUGUAAUUGCAGCUAUUUCGUUACCUGAAAUUUAAAAUGUAGCCCGUAAGGAUUUUAAUUUUCCUAAACUUGCCCUCCUGCAGGAAAAAGAACUAGUUCAACUCUGACAUAAGAUAGGUGAAUGCCACUUUUGUUAAGAGAGACCCUGGCUUUUUUUCAAGGUGAGACGAAAUGAACUGCUGUGAGGUUCUUCUCAAAGGUGUAAAAUCUCUGGAAUAAUCCAGAAUGUAGCCUUUUUAACAUAAUAACCUUUAAGCUCUUUCCUUGUGCAAGAUUUUCCGUUUAUUCCCCACCCCCCGCUAGAACACACCUCUGAUUUUAUAAUGCCAGUCAUUGAAAAACAGCAUUUAUUAGAUAAACAUUCCCUUUGGACAUACCUGUUGGCAGGGUCAGGAGUCCGGCCCGGGAUCGCACCCCACGGGGUCACGUAGGUGCCGUGUGCAGAGGCCGCCGACCGGGAUGCGGGCUCCUGGGGAUGGGGCCAUCCUGGGGCUGUGACGCCAAAUCAGAGCCUCUCUUCAUUUUCUUCUCUCCAGGAAGGCCCUUUUGUCUACUUGUCGUUUGCGGGAAGCGUUGCGGAUUCCGAAGGCUUGAUUGCUUCCUUGUGGAAAGAAUAUGGCAAAGCCGACGCGAGAUGGCUCUAUUUCGACCCAACCAUUGUGUCCUUGGAAGUUCUGACUGUUGUCCUGGAUGGGUCCCUGGCCUUGGUCCUCGUUUAUGCCAUAGUCACAGAGAAGUAUUACCGGCACUUCAUACAGGUGACGCUGUGCGUGUGUGAGUUGUACGGCGGCUGGAUGACCUUCGUCCCAGACUGGCUCAUGGGAAGCCCCAACCUCAACACCGACGACUGGCUCUACUUUGGGGUCUACCUGGUAUUUUUCAACAGCGUGUGGGUUCUGAUCCCAGGACUGUUACUGUGUCAGUCGUGGGUGGAACUCAAGACCAUGCAUUACGGCCGGAGCGGCUCACGGGAGAAGCUGCAGUGACGCCUCCGAGUCGCAGCGCUGCUGUCCUCGGGGAGCCGGGGACAGGCCCCGCGUGUGGCGGCCUAGCGCUCCGCGUGCCGUCGCCUCCCACGCCUGCUCCUAAACGACCUGUUUCCAAUUGAUCGGUCGGUGGCAAGUGUUUGUUAUUGUUGUUUUUGUUCUUAUUUCAAUUCAGCGACAGUGCGGGGAACAGAGAGUCCAGUUUAGCUUGUAGUAGUAGCCCCUUUCCGUACGUGCCCUGAGCUAGCCCAGGUGUCCCACAGCAAUAAAGCCAAGUAUCAGAGAAUCCCGUAGAGCCUG